AAGAUGUGAGCAUGCUCCUACCCCUAGGCUUUCUGCUAUGGUAGCAGAUUCCUAAUUCGUAUUAUAGAGGUUAAAUAUUGUGUAAUUUGUAAUGGCAGCUUUUAUACGAAAAAUGAAAAUUGCUCUUAUACAAUUAGCCGUCUCUUCAAAUAAAGAGCAGAAUAUAGAGCGAGCAUGUAAAUUUAUCAAAGAAUCUGCACAAAAUGGAGCUAAUCUGGUGUGUUUGCCUGUAAGUAUUAGAUAGAAGAUUUCCUUAUAUGAAGAAUGUUAGCAUAAAACUAUUUUUACUUCAUGUUUGUAAAAUGAGGUUUAAAUAAAUUGGUGGAUACCAAAA
Long non-coding RNA from Stegodyphus dumicola, 334 nucleotides. Lineage: Eukaryota; Metazoa; Arthropoda; Arachnida; Araneae; Eresidae. The record is from RefSeq and is a predicted model, not a curated record.